GAUGAACGCUGGCGGCGUGCUUAACACAUGCAAGUCGAACGGAAAGGCCCAAGCUUGCUUGGGUACUCGAGUGGCGAACGGGUGAGUAACACGUGGGUGAUCUGCCCUGCACUUCGGGAUAAGCCUGGGAAACUGGGUCUAAUACCGGAUAGGACCACUUCUUGGAUGUUGUGGUGGAAAGUUUUUUCGGUGUGGGAUGGGCUCGCGGCCUAUCAGCUUGUUGGUGGGGUAAUGGCCUACCAAGGCGUCGGCGGGUAGCCGGGCUGAGAGGGUGUACGGCCACAUUGGGACUGAGAUACGGCCCAGACUCCUACGGGAGGCAGCAGGGGGGAAUAUUGCAAAAUGGGCGCAAGCCUGAUGCAGCGACGCCGCGUGGGGGAUGACGGCCUUCGGGUUGUAAACUCCUUUCGCUAGGGACGAAGCGUUUUGUGACGGUACCUGGAGAAGAAGCACCGGCUAACUACGUG
Molecule: ribosomal RNA, 467 nt
Filed under: uncultured bacterium
Lineage: Bacteria
Description: partial 16S ribosomal RNA
Rfam family: Bacterial small subunit ribosomal RNA
Source: RNAcentral